This 485-nucleotide ribosomal RNA is filed under the name Listeria seeligeri. Its description in RNAcentral is "bacterial SSU rRNA". It matches the Rfam family "Bacterial small subunit ribosomal RNA", at positions 1 to 471 of the family's 1533-position model. The record is from RNAcentral. Lineage: Bacteria; Bacillati; Bacillota; Bacilli; Caryophanales; Listeriaceae.
UAUUUUAAAGAGAGUUUGAUCCUGGCUCAGGACGAACGCUGGCGGCGUGCCUAAUACAUGCAAGUCGAACGAACGGAGGAAGAGCUUGCUCUUCCAAAGUUAGUGGCGGACGGGUGAGUAACACGUGGGCAACCUGCCUGUAAGUUGGGGAUAACUCCGGGAAACCGGGGCUAAUACCGAAUGAUAAGGAGUGACGCAUGUCACUGCUUUGAAAGAUGGUUUCGGCUAUCGCUUACAGAUGGGCCCGCGGUGCAUUAGCUAGUUGGUAGGGUAAAGGCCUACCAAGGCAACGAUGCAUAGCCGACCUGAGAGGGUGAUCGGCCACACUGGGACUGAGACACGGCCCAGACUCCUACGGGAGGCAGCAGUAGGGAAUCUUCCGCAAUGGACGAAAGUCUGACGGAGCAACGCCGCGUGUAUGAAGAAGGUUUUCGGAUCGUAAAGUACUGUUGUUAGAGAAGAACAAGGAUAAGAGUAACUGCUUG